AUCAAGAAGAAGAAAAAGUGGAGAGCAAGAAAACGGAAGAGACAGCAGGAAAAAGAACCGGCAGUGGACGUAGGAAGAGCCGAAGAACUCCAAGUAGCCCCACAGCCGGCAGCGGGAGAGGAGGGCAGCGAUGGUCCACACCUCCCAGCAGGUACUGUGUGUGGUAGCUUGGAGAGAAUCUCUGCUGGGUCAGUGGAGAAGAUGGAACCUCCUCUACUUGAGGACUUCCACUCCACAAAGGCCAUUCCUGGAGCCAGCAAUGAUCCAGCAGGAAAUUUGCUGGAUCAGAUCGAGGCUGAAGCCGAGGCCGAGGCCAUUAAAGCGCUCAUGUCCACUGACCUGGAUGAGGAGGCGGACAACAACCAACCUCUGGGUAAGAAAUGGAAAUUAAUACCUGCCAAAAUAAAAAAACAAUGCUAAGAUGAAUUAGUCCAGCACUGACCACCAAACAUCCACAUGACCGUUCAAUUAUCAAUAUCAGUAAAAAAGUUGAUCAACUACCAACAAUAUAUUUCACAAAGCAGCUCUUUAAAAAUGUCAAUGAUUAAAUCGUGUUAUUGAAAACUUUGCAGAGAAUCAGACGACGAGCAGUGAAGCAGAAGCCAUCGAACAACUGAUGGAAGCCUUACUGCAGGAGGUUGAGGCACACAGCGCCGCUCUGACUGAAACAGAAGAACUGAUGAACGACGUUCCUGCAAAUGAAGUCAAAGCAGAGGAACAAGAGAGAAACAUCAGCUCAGAGACAUGUGAGACAACUGAAGCAGACAAAGAAGACCUCUCUACGCGAAUAUCAGGAGACAGAGGCAUCCAAGUGGGAGGUGUCGAUCAGUCGCGACACCAGCAAGCAUUUGGAGAGAAAAGAACUCUGUCAGAGAACUCAGGACCCUGUGAAAGAGCACCGGAAACGGAUCCUCAGGAGCAGAGGAGGGCGCAGAGAAAGGAGGGUAGGAGAGAGUCAUGCCACUGGACAGUUAAACAUGCUCUGAAGACCCUACAAGCCCCUCCCGAGGAAAAGAGUGCUCCACAGAGGGAGUACAGAACACAGCCUGAGAACCCAAGAAGCUGUGUACGAGCACCUAACACUGAUCCUCAGCAGCAGAGGAGGGCGCAGAGAAAGGAGGGUAGGAGAGAGUCAUGCCACUGGACAGUUAAACAUGCUCUGAAGACCCUACAAGCCCCUCCCGAGGAAAAGAGUGCUCCACAGAGGGAGUACAGAACACAGACUGAGAACCCAAGAAGCUGUGUACGAGCACCUAACACUGAUCCUCAGCAGCAGAGGAGGACACAGAGGAAGGAGGAUAGGGGGGAGGUGCGUCAUUGGACAUUUAAAUAUGCUCUGAAGACCCUCCAAGCCCCUCCUGUCAGUGCUCCACAGACAGACAGUAGAGAGUGUCUCAGAGUCAGAACAGCUGACAUCAGGCAGAAGACCCAUCCCACACCACCAAACAAGCCGAGAGACAGAGGAUGUCGAAAGGGCGAGUAUGGGAGAGGAGCUGCCCAGGGCUGGCAGAGCGAGUCCUGUUGCCAGAGGAGGGACGCUCCACGAACUCCUUCAAACAACGGAGGACGUGUGAGCGAGAGAGGAAAGAGAGGAAAUCCCGCUCAGUGUACCCCUGCACGCACUGAGAGGAAUCAACGGACUGUGAGAGAACCCAACUGGCAGCAGCACGAAGACCGCUCUGCAGAACCUGAAGAGAGAGAGACCAGAGACAGAGGCCAGAAAAAGAAAUGGUCAAAUGGAAACAGGCAGUGGAGGAGUGGGAGAAGACCGGAUGCCUCACAUUGACCAGUGAAAAACCCACAGAAGGUGAAGCACAGGUCAUUAAAGAUCUAGUGCUCACUGACCUACAGAGACACAGACUGACAGACUGACUCAGACUAGAACUCCACCUCUACACUACAACCAAACCAAUCAUCACAAACAGCUGCUGCUUAUUCAUGGUAAAGCAGGAGAUGAGAUGCUUGAGGUGGUGCCCACAGGAGAUGAAGCACGGGUCAUUAAAUCUGCUAUUAAUAUUAUUAGUAUAAUCAUUUGUAGGUAGCUUGACCAGAGGAGGAUGGGUCCCCCCCUGGUGAGCCUGGUUCCUCCCAAGGUUUCUUCCUCAGCUCUGAGGGAGUUUUUCCUUGCCACUGUCUGCCUUGGCUUGCUCACCUGGGGGUUUUUACACUUCUUGUUAAAACUCUUUCUUUUCUGGAAUUCUGUGAAGCUGCUUUACGACAACAUCCGUUGUAAAAAGCGCUACACAAAUCAAUUUGAUUUGAUUUGUUUAAAGAUCUAGUGCUCUUUGACCUACAGAUACACAGACUGACAGACUGACUCUGACUAGAACUUCAACUCUGCACUACAAUCAAACAAAUCCAUCUCUCAAACAGCCAUCCCACCGGAGAGAAAUCAACAGAACAACACUUUUAAAGCUUAAAGCCAAUAAAAGACUAACAGCAGACUCUGUU
Molecule: long non-coding RNA, 2451 nt
Organism: Pygocentrus nattereri (red-bellied piranha)
Lineage: Eukaryota; Metazoa; Chordata; Actinopteri; Characiformes; Serrasalmidae
Source: Ensembl